CUCUCCAUUUCACAUGCUCUCUC
RNAcentral lists this microRNA (23 nucleotides) under Pristionchus pacificus. Its description in RNAcentral is "ppc-miR-8364v-5p". The record is from miRBase by way of RNAcentral. Lineage: Eukaryota; Metazoa; Nematoda; Chromadorea; Rhabditida; Neodiplogasteridae.